This 27-nucleotide non-coding RNA is filed under the name Bombyx mori (domestic silkworm). The record is from RNAcentral. Lineage: Eukaryota; Metazoa; Arthropoda; Insecta; Lepidoptera; Bombycidae.
UCUUGAGUGACUCCAAAUUGGAAUGAG